ACGAACGCUGGCGGCAUGCCUAACACAUGCAAGUCGAACGAUUGCCUUCGGGUGAUAGUGGCGCACGGGUGCGUAACGCGUGGGAAUCUGCCCUUAGGUUCGGAAUAACAGCUGGAAACGGCUGCUAAUACCGGAUGAUAUCGCGAGAUCAAAGAUUUAUCGCCUGAGGAUGAGCCCGCGUUGGAUUAGGUAGUUGGUGGGGUAAAGGCCUACCAAGCCGACGAUCCAUAGCUGGUCUGAGAGGAUGAUCAGCCACACUGGGACUGAGACACGGCCCAGACUCCUACGGGAGGCAGCAGUGGGGAAUAUUGGACAAUGGGCGCAAGCCUGAUCCAGCAAUGCCGUGUGAGUGAUGAAGGCCCUAGGGUUGUAAAGCUCUUUUACCCGGGAAGAUAAUGACUGUACCGGGAGAAUAAGCCCCGGCUAACUCCGUG
Molecule: ribosomal RNA, 434 nt
Filed under: uncultured bacterium
Lineage: Bacteria
Description: partial 16S ribosomal RNA
Rfam family: Bacterial small subunit ribosomal RNA
Source: RNAcentral